GCUACACGAUUGCUAUCCUCCAUAUGCUUACUAGGAAGUAGACUUCAUGAAUUUAUUUUAGGAUUAAAUCCAGAAUAAACAUGUUUACAAUAACGCACAACAAAAUGCAUUGCAACUCAAAUAUAAAUUCCUACCCUAUCCCGUUGAAAACAGUCAGGGCUUGGAAAAAUUGUCGGCUGCCAACUGUUAGCAAGAUUUUCUUUAAAGAUAUGAAUACAGAUUCCCUUAACCUUCAAUUAAAGACUGACAUUUAGAAGAUUACUAUCAUAACAGUUCAACCCUGACAGUAUUCAAAAUUGUUGAAAAACAUAGAAAUGUUUUUGGUGCCUAGCCUGUUGUCCAGGGUCUGGACAGAAGAUAAUCCUAUGUGACAUCCACCUAGAAUGCAGUUCUGUAUGCUUUAAUUCUGACUUGGCACACAGCUCUGGAUAGGUUCUUGUCUGUGGCUGUAGCAGCCACAAUGUUUCAAGAUGCAUAUGGAGAAUAGAAUGUGGGAAGCUGCCUCAUGGCAGAUCAGCAUCUGCAAACUUAAAUUGCUGAAAUUCCCUCUUCUGCACAACUGCCAGAGAGGCAGACGUUAUGUCCUCUUUUGCAUGUAGCCACUCUCUUGGUAUAUCAAUGCUAAUACAGCAAUGUUCUUCAGGAUCUCUUUCAGCCAGCCUUCUGCUUCCAAAGCAUAUGCCAUACCACUGAGUUGUACCGCCUCCCAAAGAAUAACAUGAAACUGUUAUCAAGUCCAGAGGAAGCCCAGGCCUUGUGUGUUGUGCAAACAAGAAGAGAAACAAGAAGCUAUCUGCUGUGGUGAGCCUUUCAAGCCCUGGCCUGGGGAAAAGGAGGAAGUUCUGCAGAAUCCCAAAUGUCAGCUAAAUCACCUUCUUGAGAUAAACACAUAAACAGGCUACCUCUCCCUGAGUAAAGUGGCUAAGUGAAAUAAGACUGAUGUACAAGCUACUCAUGCUAUACAACCAUUAUAGGGAAAGGAGUCCUGUCUCUUAGUUCAUCUGACAACCCUGUCUCUGGGAGUACUUCUGAACAUCUGGCUUUAUGGAUGCGACGCUUCUUCUGAAGGUGCGACCAUCCAAAGGAUCCUGUAGGCAGGCUUCUUGUUGAAUCAAAGCAGCUCUGGGAUGGGUGAACAUGAGACACCCUGUGAAAUCUGUGUAGAGCCUCCUGGUUUCACUGGUGGACAAAGACUGAAAUAACGGUAUAGGAAAUAAAUCUAGAACUUCCUUGAAGGCUAUUU
Sceloporus undulatus (fence lizard) is the source of this 1243-nucleotide long non-coding RNA. RefSeq lists it as uncharacterized. The transcript has 5 exons. NCBI's taxonomy places the organism in Eukaryota, Metazoa, Chordata, Lepidosauria, Squamata, Phrynosomatidae. The record is from RefSeq and is a predicted model, not a curated record.